Molecule: transfer RNA, 87 nt
Filed under: Polynucleobacter victoriensis
Lineage: Bacteria; Pseudomonadati; Pseudomonadota; Betaproteobacteria; Burkholderiales; Burkholderiaceae
Rfam family: tRNA
About the family: Transfer RNA (tRNA) molecules are approximately 80 nucleotides in length. Their secondary structure includes four short double-helical elements and three loops (D, anti-codon, and T loops).
Source: Rfam by way of RNAcentral
GGAAGCUUGGCAGAGUGGUUGAAUGCAGCAGUCUUGAAAACUGCCGAGGAUGCGAGUCCUCCGUGAGUUCGAAUCUCACAGCUUCCG